CAGGAUGUAGUAUAGUGGUAGUGCGUCUGCUUUGGGAGCAGAAAGUCGGGGGUUCGAGUCCCUUCAUCCUGA
RNAcentral lists this transfer RNA (72 nucleotides) under Oltmannsiellopsis viridis. RNAcentral describes it as "tRNA-Pro". It matches the Rfam family "tRNA". From Rfam's summary of the family: Transfer RNA (tRNA) molecules are approximately 80 nucleotides in length. Lineage: Eukaryota; Viridiplantae; Chlorophyta; Ulvophyceae; Oltmannsiellopsidales; Oltmannsiellopsidaceae. The record is from RNAcentral.